UUUGAUUGACAGCUCUGUGUGCUGCAUCUGUCUGUCAGGUCAGCAGGUCAGGAGUCUAACAGCUUGAUCCGUCUGAUUUCUCUUCUUUUUUACUUCGUUUGGACAGUUUGUUUAACACAUAUCUGACAACAUACAUGGCUUGCUGUGCGGUUAACAGACCAUCCAACAAGAUGUUUCAGUUUUUUUUGAUAAACCCUGCACUAAAAGUCCAUGUUCUCCUGGAUCCAUGUCACAUGCUCAAGCUUCUUCAGAAUGACUUUUCAACAGUCGAAGUUCUGGUGAGAGAAGAUGGCCAGCAGAUAAGACGGCAGUACAUGAAGGAGCUCCACAAGCUUCAGGAGAAGGAGGAGGGUUUGCACCUUGGAAGACUGUAUUCAUGCUUCAGCUGUUCAAAUAAAAAUAGAUUUCC
Molecule: long non-coding RNA, 409 nt
Organism: Labrus mixtus (cuckoo wrasse)
Lineage: Eukaryota; Metazoa; Chordata; Actinopteri; Labriformes; Labridae
Exons: 2
Source: RefSeq, a predicted model, not a curated record